Molecule: unclassified non-coding RNA, 392 nt
Filed under: Hevea brasiliensis (rubber tree)
Lineage: Eukaryota; Viridiplantae; Streptophyta; Magnoliopsida; Malpighiales; Euphorbiaceae
Source: RNAcentral
GCCCUGCUUUCAACACUACAAUAUGUAUGUUGAAAUUUUUUCAUAAAUUUAUCUCUGCACAAAACUGCUUCUACAAUGCUAGACAUGUUCUGGAUAGCAUACCAUGUAUUGACCCAGGGUUCUGUGCAAUUUGUAUCCAAUUGUGCACUUUAUAACGGACAAAAUCUUCUUCUUACCGGAGUAUGUCUUUUAGUUUGAAAUUCCCUUGAAUUUGUGAUAAUCCUGUUGGAAGGAAUGGUAAACAUUUCCAACUUGGGAUAUUUGUCUUUUUUUUUACUAGGUAACUGUUAGCCCGUCUAUUCUAAUUGGUUUUAUUAUUCUAUCUAGUUUUCUAAUGCAUCAUGUCAUUUUGUUUAUAAUACUUGCAGAUCCUGGGCCCUGAUAGUGGAUGG